GGGUUUCACGUACAUACAUCUGCUUUCAUUAAUCCGGCUGCCUAUAUCUCAAUCUUCUGUACCUGAACCUGUCUUUGGUGGAUUCAUUUUCUUAAAGUAGUGUGGAUAUCAGCAAGGUUUAAAACACAAUGACUUCUGGCUUAGCUUAUGUAGUGGCGCGCAAGACAAUUGCAGUAACCGUCUAAUUCAGAGGUAGAGCGUGCGCUUCGUAACUUCCCCGGCGGGAUUUCAUGAGUUCGGGCCCCGUUCGUUUUCUUUCUAACCUCAAUCGUUAACAUAGGUAGUGAUGGCUCCUUCGAAAAAGUAGACACACUGGGGCCUGUCAGAGAAACUCAAACACUCACAACCAAACAUAAUUCAAUUAGUUACCGCCAUAAAAUGGCUGAAAUAUUGCCAGAACGGCGUAAAACCUCAAUCAAUCAAUGGCUCCUUCGUCAAACACUCGGCAUUUAGAAGUGAGAACCACGGGUCUUUCGGAUAUGUCUCUCAUGCGACUGGCGUUGGCACUUUAAAGAACUCGCACUGCAACGGCCCUGAGCACAAAGCAUAGAUCUAAAUAUGUGGUACUUCAUCUACAGCUAGUGGUAUCUCAAUAUGAGUGAAAAAUUCUCGACAAGACGUUAACCAGUCAAUCAAUUUAACUUCCCAGUACAAAGUAUUUAUACCCUACAUAGCUUAAAAUUUCUAACCAAGGUUAUAGUCGCGGGCACGAAAGGAAAAAGUACAGGAAAAAUCAUUCACUGUAUGGGAUCAUGGUAAUCAAUUUUUUUUUUACUCCACUUUUUACUUUAACAACUUUUAAGCUUCCAAUUAGAAUAUUGCCUUUUUAUGGUAGUAUAAAACUGGUUUAUUUCGGGUCAACUAGUACUGUAUUGUAUUAGUAUAAUUUCGAUUUGCUUGAUAUAGAAUGUUUAUAAACAUUGUUUACUUAUAUUAUAUAAUUACUAAAGCUAACAUAUCGAAUGCCCGUGUAACAUAUGAUUCUUGCUUAUUGUCGUAUGCAAUUUCCGUGUAGCCCAAAAGUCAAUAUAUAGAUUCAGAGGUGCAAUUUUCCACCGACACAUCGCUAGCUUUUGUAUUAAAUGAAAAUUGGAGUGAUUUUAUCUUUUUCAAGGCUGGAUUCUUGUCAAUAUUCACAGAACUUGAGGGGUACACCCAGACUGAGUCUCUGUAAUCCUCCGCUGUGAUAGGCAUACAGUCAUCUUCAAACUUAUCUGGCUUGAAUCUAACACCGAGAUCGAUGUUCAGACAUGUUUUCGGUUGGAAUCGAUGACGUUCGUUCAAGUUAUUUUUAACAACGACCAAUAUUUUUUAUUUAAGCAUGGCCUGGUCCUCACAGAGCAUGUAGACCAUGCAUGACGUCAACAGCACAGGAGCGCGCUUCAUCCGAUUGCGUCAUCUUCGUACCUGUUAUUUACGGCACCUGCCAUUCCUCAGAUUCGCAGACUGUAGGCAAUCAACUACGGAAUAUUGGAAUUAUAGUGCACCGGGACAGACUUCAUUGAUUUUAGACUCAUACAGUAUGGUCACGGCAACGGUGGCGGAUAGCUUGGGACAGCUCUAUGAAUCUCGAUUUUUACUGCAGAGACCCUGAUGGAGCACUCAGCGGGUAUCUAGGCGCCAAAAUUGUUUUGUGCUAAAUUGCAUCCAGGAGACUGACAGGUUUGGAGGGGAAGUGUUAUGAUGUAGGCAGCAAUAUCCUAUAUAGAUAAUACAGCAUAUGGUUCACAUACAGGGUACUUCGACGACUCAACUGUGUAUUGAUGAAGUCAUCCAGCAACACGUGGUUCCAAUAUAAUGCAGCAUCCAGGAUCAGUAUUCCAUUAUGACAACGCCAAACCAUAUACUGUUCGUUCAAUAGAUGGUGUUCUGCAAAGACACACUAUCCAGGUUCAUCCUUGGCCAUCCAAAUCAUCAGAUGUGAAACCUAUCGAACAUGGUACGAACUGGAUAGGCGCAUCUGCAAAGACAACCACUGUCUCAGACUCUGCAACAACUGGUCCAAGCUCUGCAAUUAAAGUCGAACACCAUCCCUAUACAGUUAUUUAGAGACUUAAUUGCCCAUGGGAACGCGUUGGUACUCGUGGGUGGCAUACUAAACAUUGUACUUGGUGACCUUGAACUGAUGACUGUAAUUAUCAUUAGUGGUUGUAAUAGUUUGAUUUCAACGUUUACAUCAUUUUUGUGUUAAAUAUCUUUAAUGUCUUAAAAUGAAUAUGAAAUUGCA
Molecule: long non-coding RNA, 2227 nt
Organism: Ostrea edulis (European flat oyster)
Lineage: Eukaryota; Metazoa; Mollusca; Bivalvia; Ostreida; Ostreidae
Exons: 2
Source: RefSeq, a predicted model, not a curated record